Molecule: long non-coding RNA, 779 nt
Filed under: Anas platyrhynchos platyrhynchos (common mallard)
Lineage: Eukaryota; Metazoa; Chordata; Aves; Anseriformes; Anatidae
Description: lncRNA (ENSAPLG00000026203.1)
Source: RNAcentral
AUCGAUUUCGUGUUGUUUUCCAGAACAGCCUGCAUCAUAAAGACUAAAAGGCAGUUAUAGAUGUUCUAAAGUCAAAGACGCUUGUUCAGCCCUACAGAAAGCUGACGUUAAGGAUGUACCACGCUGAUACUGAUCUCAGUGCUCAAAACAUGAUGUUUGUUUCCUAUCCCAGGUCCAGGAAAUUGAUGCUUUGAGGACAGAGAAUAGGAAGCUUAAAAACGCGAACUCCAGGCUGCGAUAUAAAACAAAAGAUUGGGCGAUAAGGAGAGAAGAAUAUAAAAAGUAAGGAUGAGGAUAAUCUUGCAUCGGGUUAAAAAUGAUCUACAGCUGAGCUAAAUGGAUGUGGCUUUGUGGUUGAGAAGGGCAGAGCGAAUUGCACCCGCAAUUAAUAAAUCUUCCCAAUUUCUGGUGCCUAAAGUUCUGUGACAAAUCGAUGUCUUUAUCAGCUUUGUACCUGAGAAUGGUUCUGUCGAGUAACGCAGCUAUUUGCAUUUUGCUUUCUUUUCCAAGUGAGAUCGAGAGACUUUCUGGCGAGAUCUCCAACUACUUAAAUGUCACCAACUUCUGGGAUGAAGAGUCUGAGCAACUGAACGGCCCAGAUAAGAGAACGCCACGGGACCAGACCAAACAUGCGAGCACUCAGACAGAGGGCGCCUGCGGAGCGGAGGAGAGGUAAGGGCUGGGAAAAAGGUGCUGGAGCAGGGCUGCCGUGGCGCUGUCCUGGCCCUACAAAACUCAGCAGCUUCUUGGUCAUAAGCCCUACAUCUCUUGGGACAUGA